GACAGUGCGCAGGUAUAUUUGAUUUUUUGCUACUCUGUGAGAACGCAUGUAGUACAGUAUAUUUAUUUCUGGACCAUUCACGAUUUCGUUGCAUCAUUUAUGGAAACCAUUGAGACGACGCUGAAUUUCUUAAGACACAAUAUAUACGCUCACAGGGUACAGCAAGGUAUGGUGCGGCAAACUUGCUCUGAAGCUCUGCAGGUUUGACGCGGAGACUAUCUCCGAGGCCAGAUCUUGAGGGCGGACCGACCGACCACUGGUAGCCACGGCAUGGGAUGACGGGAAUAAAGUGGAUUUUCAAUCUCACGAUGGUUCCCUGGAUCGUCUUCAUAUAUUUAUGAGAUCUCUAUAUUGAAUGGGUUCUUUCCUAGGAUAGUGCCGAGAUGGAAGCAUCGACCGUGCAAGACGUCAAAAACUCAUCUUCAGUUUUGGUACUAUAUUUGAGUGAUUCGUGAUCUUGCGUUUUCAUACAUGAUUCAUUUCUCAUUGUAUAUUAUCAUAUAUAGUUUUAUAUCUUGCAGGAGUGCACGGGUAAGAGGUAAGGGUGAUAAUAAGAACAAAAAGGGGAGGAAUGGACCAGAAAGCGGAGAAGAAAAAAGGUACAAGCUCCACAAACCGGUUCAUGUCACAUUCUGUUCAGGGAUUACAACUGAAAGUCUGAAACGACUAAUCAUUUAUAUCAUAAUUACACACAGGCCGGGCAAGAAAUUUUCUCGGCCUUCAAUAUGAAAACCUGAGAACAAGUCCAAGACAUAAAAAAAG
This 762-nucleotide long non-coding RNA is filed under the name Zea mays. RNAcentral describes it as "long non-coding RNA (ZMAY_LNC001998)". Lineage: Eukaryota; Viridiplantae; Streptophyta; Magnoliopsida; Poales; Poaceae. The record is from RNAcentral.